RNAcentral lists this ribosomal RNA (414 nucleotides) under uncultured bacterium. RNAcentral's name for it is "bacterial SSU rRNA". It matches the Rfam family "Bacterial small subunit ribosomal RNA", at positions 355 to 787 of the family's 1533-position model. The record is from RNAcentral.
UGGGGAAUAUUGCGCAAUGGGGAAAGCCCUGACGCAGCAACGCCGCGUGCGGGAUGAAGGCUUUCGGGUUGUAAACCGCUUUCAGCAGGAAAGAUAAUGACGGUACCUGCAGAAGAAGCCCCGGCUAACUACGUGCCAGCAGCCGCGGUAAUACGUAGGGGGCAAGCGUUAUCCGGAUUCAUUGGGCGUAAAGCGCGCGCAGGCGGGUUGCUAAGCGGGACCUCUAAUCUUGGGGCUCAACCUCAAGCCGGGUCCCGAACUGGCAGCCUCGAGUGCGGUAGGGGUAAGCGGAAUUCCCGGUGUAGCGGUGGAAUGCGCAGAUAUCGGGAAGAACACCGAUGGCGAAGGCAGCUUACUGGGCCGUCACUGACGCUGAGGCGCGAAAGCUAGGGGAGCGAACAGGAUUAGAUACCC